RNAcentral lists this ribosomal RNA (265 nucleotides) under uncultured bacterium. RNAcentral describes it as "partial 16S ribosomal RNA". It matches the Rfam family "Bacterial small subunit ribosomal RNA", at positions 1235 to 1500 of the family's 1533-position model. The record is from RNAcentral.
UGUAACAGAGGGAAGCGAAACAGCGAUGUGGAGCGAAACCCGAAAAGCACCCCCAGUUCGGAUUGCAGGCUGAAAUUCGCCUGUAUGAAGCCGGGAUUGCUAGUAAUGGCAGGUCAGCAUACUGCCGUGAAUACGUUCCCGGGCCUUGUACACACCGCCCGUCAAACCAUGAGAGUUGGCAACACCCGAAGUCGGUAGUCUAACCGCAAGGAGGACGCCGCCGAAGGUGGGGUUGAUGAUUAGGGUUAAGUCGUAACAAGGUAAC